RNAcentral lists this long non-coding RNA (344 nucleotides) under Nicotiana tabacum (common tobacco). Its description in RNAcentral is "long non-coding RNA (NTAB_LNC003918)". The record is from RNAcentral. Lineage: Eukaryota; Viridiplantae; Streptophyta; Magnoliopsida; Solanales; Solanaceae.
UUGGAAGUUUAAAGGAAAAAAAAGGAAAGGGAGAAAGAGAAAUCUUUCUGUCUUAAAGUGUAAUUAACAAUGGCUUCCUCAGUUCUUUCCUCUGCAGCAGUUGCCACCCGCAGCAAUGUUGCUCAAGCUAACAUGGUUGCACCUUUCACUGGCCUUAAGUCAGCUGCCUCAUUCCCUGUUUCAAGGAAGCAAAACCUUGACAUCACUUCCAUUGCCAGCAACGGCGGAAGAGUGCAAUGCAUGCAGGUAAUUUAUAUACAAUGACAGUGCAAAAAAUUUUGAUACAAUUAAUGCAUCUUAACAUGUCAUAGCUAAAAAUUCUAUUUUGGUGGAAUAUAGGUGUG